Molecule: ribosomal RNA, 253 nt
Filed under: uncultured bacterium
Lineage: Bacteria
Description: partial 16S ribosomal RNA
Rfam family: Bacterial small subunit ribosomal RNA
Source: RNAcentral
UACGUAGGUGGCAAGCGUUGUCCGGAAUUACUGGGUGUAAAGGGCGUGUAGGCGGGUAUGCAAGUCAGAUGUGAAAUUCCUCUGCUCAACGGAGGCGCUGCAUCUGAAACUGUAUAUCUUGAGUGCUGGAGAGGAAAGCGGAAUUCCUAGUGUAGCGGUGAAAUGCGUAGAUAUUAGGAGGAACACCAGUGGCGAAGGCGGCUUUCUGGACAGUAACUGACGCUGAGGCGCGAAAGCGUGGGGAGCAAACAGG